Molecule: ribosomal RNA, 459 nt
Filed under: uncultured microorganism
Description: bacterial SSU rRNA
Rfam family: Archaeal small subunit ribosomal RNA
Source: RNAcentral
GCGCACCAGGCGCGAAAACUCCGCAAUGCCCGAAAGGGUGACGGGGGGAUUCCAAGUGCCUACGCUUAGCGUAGGCUGUUCAGGUGCCUAAAAAAGCACCUGGAGGAAGGGCUGGGUAAGACGGGUGCCAGCCGCCGCGGUAAUACCCGCAGCCCGAGUGGUAGUCGCUUUUAUUGGGCCUAAAGCGUCCGUAGCCGGUCUGGUAAAUGCCUGGGUAAAUCGUGGGGCUUAACCUCACGAAUUCCGGGUAGACUGCCAGACUUGGGACCGGUUGAGGGAGAGGGCACUCCAGGGGUAGGGGUGAAAUCAGCAAGGUAAGCUGAUGUAACUUGCCUUGCAAGUCACAAUCCUGUAAUCCUUGGAGGACCACCGGUGGCGAAAAGCGCUCUCCUAGGACGGGUCCGACGGGUGAGGGACGAAAGCCAGGGGGAGCAAAACCGGAUUAGAUACCCCCGUAGU